This 253-nucleotide ribosomal RNA is filed under the name uncultured bacterium. RNAcentral describes it as "partial 16S ribosomal RNA". It matches the Rfam family "Bacterial small subunit ribosomal RNA", at positions 524 to 776 of the family's 1533-position model. The record is from RNAcentral.
UACGGAGGGUGCAAGCGUUAUCCGGAUUUACUGGGUUUAAAGGGCGCGUAGGUGGGUAGAUAAGUCAGCGGUGAAAUCUCCAGGCUUAACUUGGAAACUGCCAUUGAUACUAUCUGUCUUGAAUAUCCUGGAGGUGAGCGGAAUAUGUCAUGUAGCGGUGAAAUGCUUAGAUAUGACAUAGAACACCUAUUGCGAAGGCAGCUCACUGCGGGAUUAUUGACGCUGAGGCACGAAAGCGUGGGGAUCAAACAGG